GCACCGGGAACUAGAGGGAUGCCAGGUCCCUUCCGCAUCCUUGGUAUUUUCCUGCCGAGGGUCUGACCAUUGCCGCUCUCAGGCACCUGCCUUUCCUCUCCGUCCAGGAAUGGAGCCAAGACAAGGGAAUAAAGGAAAUAAAAUAAUACAAGGAGAUCGGGUGUCUGAGCAGCGUCUUGGGUAAAACCGUCCAUGACAGGCCUAGUAUGCCCUAGUAAAACAACUCACCAGCAUCCAGAAGUUUCCUCACACGCAGAUAGCUGAUGGUAAGCCUCAUAACAGAAGCCUUAUCAAGAUGCGAACUCACGUUAUGGGGAAGUGGCAACUGAUGAGCAAGCUCAUAAAAAACUUCAGACUCUUUACUUCGCCGAGAUCUGGCUGCAUCUCUAGACUUUUCUUUUCGACGUUCAGAACUUAUCCUAUUUAACAAAAAGGAAUGGGAGGGGGGAGAAAAGAGACAGGAAAUUUAUGUUAGUUUGCCUUUGCUUGAAUAAACUAAAUUUACAUUCUGCUUA
Molecule: long non-coding RNA, 515 nt
Organism: Myotis daubentonii (Daubenton's bat)
Lineage: Eukaryota; Metazoa; Chordata; Mammalia; Chiroptera; Vespertilionidae
Exons: 2
Source: RefSeq, a predicted model, not a curated record